Scylla paramamosain (green mud crab) is the source of this 1359-nucleotide long non-coding RNA. RefSeq lists it as uncharacterized. The record is from RefSeq and is a predicted model, not a curated record. The transcript has 2 exons. Lineage: Eukaryota; Metazoa; Arthropoda; Malacostraca; Decapoda; Portunidae.
GUCGCCUGAGAAAAUGAGAUAGAAAAAAAAUCACGUAUCUUAAUUUCUUUUCCGGAACGUUUAGAAAAAAAAAAUGCGGGAGUGAGGAGAGAAAAGAAAAUGAACGAAGAAAAAGAAAAAAAUCAAGACAGAAAGAAGCACCAAGUCACUUCGAGUCAAAGUGAAUCUGUUUCGCUGCGUUGUGGUCGCCUGGUGUGUGUGGGCGGGGGCGGCGGGGGUGGCUUGAGUGAGCGGCGACUGGGAGAAGGAGAGAGGGGCGGAGAGGAUAGAAGGAGGGGAGGGGACAUGACAUUAGAGUGGGCCUACUGCCGCUAUGUCCCCCGGGGCGUGGAAAUGGCCUGUGCCCCUCCAAGCCACGGCAAUACAUCACGUGACAGGUUCACAAUGCCACGGAGAAAGAGAGACGGAGAGAUGGAGGAGGAGGGGGAGGGAAAGUGAAGGUGAGCCAUUCGCUGGACACUUUGCUCCUCGCUCGCCCCACGCCACCCUCCUCUUGCCCGGCUGCGUCUGUCUGUUUGUUUGCGUGCGUCUGCUGGGGAGCGUCACUGGGAGGGGAAUGCAGCAGGAGGACGAGUGAUAAACAAGGAGGGUCAUGAGGGAGGCGGAUGCGAGAUGCAAGGGCGGCGCUAAGUGGUCACAAAAAAGCCUUUCAACAAUAGCCUGGUGGACGAACGAACAAACACACAACAUGCACACGCUGAACAAGGUCGGUGGCAGCACACGCACUUACAAGCUGAGAGGAUAAUGAGUUUGGUCCAGUCGUGAUCCCUCGGUGCGCACAAUAAGGUGAUGCAAGACGUGUGGUCAUGGCCAGAACACAAUUAACCUGUUGCUCUCACUUCCACUCCUAUUCCUCUGUGUUUAAUGUUUUCCUUUAUUCUUAAGUCCUGUGAUUUACUAGCAUUCUGAAAAUAUCCUUACAAAAUAACUGGUUAUUGAAGGAUAUUUUUUUGGUACAUCAGGGGACUUGAGAUUGAAGGACACGUAAAAACACAGUGGAAGUGAAUGCAGUAUGCUACUUAAUUUCCAUGACAAUCAGCUGACCGGAGCAUGUAAACAAAAAAUCGACUGUUUUCACGCAUGCACUGAACCAAAACAUUUCCCUCAAUUUCCUGCUGCUGUAGACUGUUCCAUAAGGCGCGCAGUGUUGCCAGUCCAGUACCAGUUCAAUACCCUUUCCGCUGCACACCUCCCCAUGCUUCCCACAGUGUUACCAUCAUUCUUUCACGUCUGGCCAGUGUUACAAGUCGCCUCCGUGCCUUGCCCCCGCCAUCGCCGCCAGGUCGCCCGCCACCGCCACAAGCCCUCCCGGCCACUGUUGCCGAUAUAAAGUGCAAUAAACUUGAAGUAAAGACGAAA